This is a non-coding RNA of Thozetella sp. PMI_491, 141 nucleotides long. Lineage: Eukaryota; Fungi; Ascomycota; Sordariomycetes; Chaetosphaeriales; Chaetosphaeriaceae. The record is from the annotation of a GenBank genome assembly.
GCGGGUUUAGCUCAGUUGGGAGAGCGUCAGACGUACGUUUCCCAACCUCAAAUGCUACGCAUUCCUGCUAACCCAAUGCGCAGUGAAGCCAACUUCAAUUCGUCUAUCUGAAGGUCAUGUGUUCGAUCCACAUAAACCGCA